GGAGGCACGGAAGAAGGAACGGUAGGACGCGUUCGUCGUACGCAUGAUGCCGCUAACCGACAACAACGACGACGACAUAAACGACAACGUCGGACAAUGACGACGCGAUCAUCGUGUAGUGAAUAUCGCCGAAUCGAAUUCUCUCGGUAUUACGUUCUCAUUUUAUUUUGUAAGAGAAUAAAACGUGCGAUCGGUGCGUGGGUCCAAUUUCGGGUAUCUUAAUUAUCGAGGAAUAUAUUUCCAACGAAUAUUUCAAGCUUCGUAGAUCUACGAAAUACAUAUUACGACGUUGAAGGGAGAUACAACGUGUGACUUCGAAAUUAAAUUGGAAAAAUGUCGGAAUAUCGGGAACGAGAAUAUCGGAAUUAUUACCAGGACGAUUAUCUCACCUGUUCGUUUACCUGGACUAGAAGGUAGAAGGUAGAAGUGUAUAGUACCUAGUGGUACCGGAAGAAAUGUUUUCGACGUGCUUUUGAAGGUGCAAGGAGCACCGGUUGUUAAGGUUGUUCAUCACUCCUGCUUUUAUAAUGGUUUAUGCCGGCAAUGAAUCCAGAAGUAAUUUACAGAUCGAUUUUGAAGAACAAGGAAGGACUCGUUUCAAAGAGAUGAAACUGCAAACGAGGUAAAUGCGUUUUUCGAAUUUUUGCGAAAGCAUUAUUCUCUUUG
Molecule: long non-coding RNA, 666 nt
Organism: Vespula pensylvanica (western yellowjacket)
Lineage: Eukaryota; Metazoa; Arthropoda; Insecta; Hymenoptera; Vespidae
Exons: 3
Source: RefSeq, a predicted model, not a curated record